CGAGCACGCGCGUGUGGCAUAUCAAUAAGCGGAGGAAAAGAAACUAACAAGGAUUCCCUUAGUAACGGCGAGUGAAGCGGGAAGAGCUCAAAUUUGAAAUCUUCAAGGUUCUACCUUGACGAAUUGUAGUUUAUAGAAGUGUUUUCUGUUAGUGGAGUGGCAAAAGUUCUUUGGAAUAGGACAUCAUAGAGGGUGAGAAUCCCGUAUUUGGUCAUUCCUCCUAGCGUUGUGAUACACUUUCAACGAGUCGGAUUGUUUGGGAAUGCAGUCCAAAAUGGGUGGUAAAUUUCAUCUAAAGCUAAAUAUUGGCGAGAGACCGAUAGCGAACAAGUACCGUGAGGGAAAGAUGAAAAGAACUUUGAAAAGAGAGUUAAACAGUACGUGAAAUUGUCAAAAGGGAAGCGUUUGACACCAGUGUUGUUUUUCCGAAAAUCAAUUACGAAUGUUUUAUUUUUGAGGAGUUAUGACUUCAUCGGCUUGCUCCUUUCUUUAUGAAACUUUCUUAAUGCACUUUUCGGUUAACAAGUCAACAUCAAUUUCUUUUGUUGUAAAAGGGUAUGAGGAAGGUGGCUUUCUUUUCGGAGAAAGUGUUUAUAGCCUUGUGCCUCUGCAAUCGGAGAGAUUGAGGUCUGCAGCGUAGAUCCUUCGGGGUUAGAUACAGUUUGUGCUAAGUUAUAGCUUUUCAUAGACAACUUGUUGAUUAUGAUUAAAUCUUGUAGCUUACUCGCUUAUGCUAUUUUACCUACGCUUAGGAUGUUGAACUCUAUCACACACAG
RNAcentral lists this ribosomal RNA (776 nucleotides) under uncultured Neocallimastigales. RNAcentral's name for it is "partial large subunit ribosomal RNA". It matches the Rfam family "Eukaryotic large subunit ribosomal RNA", at positions 19 to 621 of the family's 3401-position model. Lineage: Eukaryota; Fungi; Neocallimastigomycota; Neocallimastigomycetes; Neocallimastigales. The record is from RNAcentral.